RNAcentral lists this ribosomal RNA (549 nucleotides) under Lactifluus pilosus. Its description in RNAcentral is "partial large subunit ribosomal RNA". The record is from RNAcentral. Lineage: Eukaryota; Fungi; Basidiomycota; Agaricomycetes; Russulales; Russulaceae.
AACUGCGAGUGAAGCGGGAAAAGCUCAAAUUUAAAAUCUGGYGGUCUUURGGCCRUCCGAGUUGUAAUUUAGAGAAGCGUCUUCCGCGCCAGACCGUGCACAAGUCUCCUGGAAUGGAGCGUCAUAGAGGGUGAGAAUCCCGUCUUUGGCAUGGAACCYCUGGUGCUUCUGUGAUGCGCUCUCGAAGAGUCGAGUUGUUUGGGAAUGCAGCUCAAAAUGGGUGGUGAACUCCAUCUAAAGCUAAAUAUUGGCGAGAGACCGAUAGCGAACAAGUACCGUGAGGGAAAGAUGAAAAGCACUUUGGAAAGAGAGUGAAACAGUACGUGAAAUUGUUGAAAGGGAAACGCUUGGAGUCAGUCGCGUUGGCCAAGACUCAGCCUUGCCUCGGCUUGGUGUACUUCUUGGCCGACGGGCCAGCAUCGAUUUUGCCCCUCAGAUAAUGGCGAGGGAAAGGUGGCACCUUUGCRGGUGUGUUAUAGUCCCUUGUCGCAUGUGAGGGGUGGGAUCGAGGAACUCAGCACGCACCUUUUGGUGUCGGGGCUUCGGCCC